Felis catus (domestic cat) is the source of this 1009-nucleotide long non-coding RNA. RefSeq lists it as uncharacterized. The record is from RefSeq and is a predicted model, not a curated record. Lineage: Eukaryota; Metazoa; Chordata; Mammalia; Carnivora; Felidae. The transcript is spliced from 3 exons.
AUCCCACAACCCUUUGGUAUAGUGUUAUUUCCUAUUGUACUUUGGACAUUUGUCAAAUCCUCUGGAGAAUGUUGUUUGUUGCAUCGUUGUUCUUUUAAAAGGCAAAUGACAUGGCAAGUUCAGAAGGCAAAUUUUAUUCCAUCUUUAGUGGCAGUAGUUCCAAUGUCAGUGUGCCUUCAAAAUUAGCAAUUGUGCUACUCAGGACUUCAUCUGGGACUAAAAUAUUUGGUGGAAAUUUUAUAUCACAGUUCAAUUCUGAAACACUACACUCUGUUAUUGGGUGUUGAUCUUGGUGAUGAGUCAAGGUCCAUGUAUUUGUUCAUGCAUAGGGCUAGGGAAUCUGCUCUUCUAGCCUACUCCUCUUCAGUAUUUUAUUCACAAUUUCUAGUACCCAGGGCCUCAUUCCCUAGCUCUUCUGGAUGGAAAAAUAAUUUCUCUCAGAAUUUUACCCCCUGUCCUGUCACACAAUUAUAUAUGACUGGGUCCAUCCUUGAGAGAAGAUGUCAAUGAGAAUAAAAUAAUGGUGAUUCUUUACACGUACUUCAUAUCACAGGGGUUUCUCUGGCUAAAGACAAGUGUUUUGUCUCUUUAUGUGUUUUAGGAGCCCUUGUCAUAGCACCAUGGCAGUUCGGCUUUGUGAGUGGGGCUGGCCUGAGAGUAGGGAUCGGAGAAAAAAACAUAUUUUUCUCUCAUCUCUGGGAUUUUAAAUCCCCUGGUCUCCUGGAAAGACAGAAGGGCUCUCCCUACAAGAUUUCCUUCUCUUCCUGUUCUGCAGUUCUUCAGUUCAGGCCACACUCAGGUGAAACAAAGCCAGACAUGACUGUUCCUUUUCUUCCUGAGGUGAUUUUCUUUGUAUCUACUGACCAGCAAUGUCUAUCAAAGGACUACUCUUGGUGCAACAUCUUGAGGUUAUUGUAGUUGUUUAACCGCCCAUGGAAAGCUCCUUACACAGAGGGAGAGACAGAACCUGAGCACGGAAAGGGCAGAGAGAGAGAGGGAGACACAGAAU